This 408-nucleotide ribosomal RNA is filed under the name uncultured bacterium. RNAcentral describes it as "partial 16S ribosomal RNA". It matches the Rfam family "Bacterial small subunit ribosomal RNA", at positions 28 to 526 of the family's 1533-position model. The record is from RNAcentral.
GACGAACGCUGGCGGCGUGCUUAACACAUGCAAGUCGAACGAAGUGGCGAACGGGUGAGUAACGCGUAAUCAACCUGCCCUUCAGUGGGGGACACCAGUUGAAAACGACUGCUAAUCCCGCAUACUGAAGGAGGGGAUUGCGUUGGAUUAGCUAGGUGGAGGGGUAACGGCCCACCAAGGCGAUGAUCAGUAGGCGGGUGUAGGUGGUUAACGGCCAAAGCGGGACUGAGACACGGGCCAGACCUCGACGGGGGGGAGCAGUGGGGAAUCUUCCGCAAUGGAGCAAAGUCUGACGGAGAAAAGGCGCGGGAGAGAUGACGGGCUUCGGGUUGGAAAGCUCUGUUCAUCGGGACGCGGUACCGGAAUAGAAAGCCACGGCUAACUCCGUGCCAGCAGCCGCGGUAAUAC